This 290-nucleotide long non-coding RNA is filed under the name Capsella rubella. Its description in RNAcentral is "long non-coding RNA (CRUB_LNC002239)". Lineage: Eukaryota; Viridiplantae; Streptophyta; Magnoliopsida; Brassicales; Brassicaceae. The record is from RNAcentral.
UUAAAAACUACAAAACAUUCAUGGCCUAAGUAUAUGAAAGGAUAUUCUUCGGCCAUCAUCUUUGAAGAUUAAUGAGUUUAUAAUAUGAAAAGAAGUAAGUGUGUUUCAAAAAAAAAAAAAAAAAACAAAAGUAGGUGUGUUUCUAUUCGUGAUGAGCAAGCCUUACAGCUUGAAAGUAACAUGAAAGAUGUAUCUUGAAACCUUGGGAAAGUUUCCUAAGUUAAGAAGGCGCAUGCUUUGUUUGGUUUUGAGAAUCGGUACUAAACAUCGCCCCUGUAAUUGUACACGCU